Molecule: transfer RNA, 73 nt
Filed under: Ovis aries (sheep)
Lineage: Eukaryota; Metazoa; Chordata; Mammalia; Artiodactyla; Bovidae
Rfam family: tRNA
About the family: Transfer RNA (tRNA) molecules are approximately 80 nucleotides in length. Their secondary structure includes four short double-helical elements and three loops (D, anti-codon, and T loops). Further hydrogen bonds mediate the characteristic L-shaped molecular structure. tRNAs have two regions of fundamental functional importance: the anti-codon, which is responsible for specific mRNA codon recognition, and the 3' end, to which the tRNAs corresponding amino acid is attached (by aminoacyl-tRNA synthetases). tRNAs cope with the degeneracy of the genetic code in two manners: having more than one tRNA (with a specific anti-codon) for a particular amino acid; and 'wobble' base-pairing, i.e. permitting non-standard base-pairing at the 3rd anti-codon position.
Source: Rfam by way of RNAcentral
UCCCUGGUGGUCCAGUUGGUUAAGAAUCUGUCUUCCAACGCAGCAGAUGCAGGUUUGAUUCCUGCUUGGGGAG